Molecule: transfer RNA, 72 nt
Filed under: Enterococcus faecium
Lineage: Bacteria; Bacillati; Bacillota; Bacilli; Lactobacillales; Enterococcaceae
Also listed under: 3 other names
Description: tRNA-Glu
Rfam family: tRNA
About the family: Transfer RNA (tRNA) molecules are approximately 80 nucleotides in length. Their secondary structure includes four short double-helical elements and three loops (D, anti-codon, and T loops).
Source: RNAcentral
GGCCCGUUGGUCAAGCGGUUAAGACAUCGCCCUUUCACGGCGGUAACACGGGUUCGAAUCCCGUACGGGUCA